UACGUAGGGGGCUAGCGUUGUCCGGAAUCAUUGGGCGUAAAGCGCGUGUAGGCGGUCCGGUAAGUCCGCUGUGAAAGUCGGGGGCUCAACCCUCGAAUGCCGGUGGAUACUGUCGGGCUAGAGUGCGGAAGAGGCGAGUGGAAUUCCUGGUGUAGCGGUGAAAUGCGCAGAUAUCAGGAGGAACACCAAUUGCGAAGGCAGCUCGCUGGGACGUUACUGACGCUGAGGAGCGAAAGCGUGGGGAGCAAACAGG
RNAcentral lists this ribosomal RNA (253 nucleotides) under uncultured bacterium. RNAcentral's name for it is "partial 16S ribosomal RNA". It matches the Rfam family "Bacterial small subunit ribosomal RNA", at positions 524 to 776 of the family's 1533-position model. The record is from RNAcentral.